AGAUUAAACUGAAGAGUUUGAUCAUGGCUCAGAUUGAACGCUGGCGGCAGGCUUAACACAUGCAAGUCGAGCGGUAACAGAUCUAGCUUGCUAGAUGCUGACGAGCGGCGGACGGGUGAGUAACGCGUAGGAACCUGCCCAGUAGUGGGGGAUAGCCCGGUGAAAACCGGAUUAAUACCGCAUACGCUCUACGGAGGAAAGGGGGCUUCGGCUCUCGCUAUUGGAUGGGCC
Molecule: ribosomal RNA, 231 nt
Filed under: Oleiphilus sp. HI0118
Lineage: Bacteria; Pseudomonadati; Pseudomonadota; Gammaproteobacteria; Oceanospirillales; Oleiphilaceae
Also listed under: 1 other name
Description: partial 16S ribosomal RNA
Rfam family: Bacterial small subunit ribosomal RNA
Source: RNAcentral